UUGACCUCGGAUCAGGUAGGGAUACCCGCUGAACUUAAGCAUAUCAAAAGGCGGAGGAA
This 59-nucleotide ribosomal RNA is filed under the name Stagonosporopsis ligulicola. RNAcentral's name for it is "partial 28S ribosomal RNA". The record is from RNAcentral. Lineage: Eukaryota; Fungi; Ascomycota; Dothideomycetes; Pleosporales; Didymellaceae.